Molecule: long non-coding RNA, 218 nt
Organism: Eptesicus fuscus (big brown bat)
Lineage: Eukaryota; Metazoa; Chordata; Mammalia; Chiroptera; Vespertilionidae
Exons: 4
Source: RefSeq, a predicted model, not a curated record
AAAAGAAUGAAUCCAGCACAACAAAGAUCUGCUCUUUCCCAGAUGAAUGGAAGUGGUGGGGGAAGGGGAAAUAAUGAACAACAUAAACUGAUGAACAAAAACAGACCCGGAGACAGGGAAGCAUCGAUCAGACUGUCAAACCUCAGAAGGAAGUUUUGGCAGAGAUAAACCAUUCCUUCAAAAUCCCCUGAUUCCUCAUCAUUCCCUAUAACAGCAAG